GAAAGUAAGCAAGGGCAGACGGUGGAUGCCUUGGCUCUCGGAGGCGACGAAGGACGUGAUAAGCUGCGAAAAGCCCGGGGGAGGCGCAAAUAGCCGUUGAUCCCGGGAUAUCCGAAUGGGGCAACCCGGCAGGCUGAAGGCCUGCCAUCCCGAAAGGGAGGCGAACGUGGGGAACUGAAACAUCUAAGUACCCAUAGGAGGAGAAAAUAAACAAUGAUUCCGUAAGUAGUGGCGAGCGAACACGGAAGAGCCCAAACCCAUGUCGUCUAGGCGACACGGGGGUUGUAGGACCACGACGUGGCAAGAAGGAAGGGAAAUGGAACGACUUGGAAAAGUCGGCCAUAGACGGUGAAAGCCCGGUACAUGACUCCCUUACGAAGCCUAGUGGUAUCCUGAGUAGCGCGGGGCACGAGAAAUCUUGCGUGAAACAGCGGGGCCCAUCCCGUAAGGCUAAAUACUCCCGAGAGACCGAUAGCGAACCAGUACCGUGAGGGAAAGGUGAAAAGAACCCCGAGCAGGGGAGUGAAAUAGACCCUGAACCCGUCUGCCUACAAGCGGUCGGAGCGUCGUAAUGACGUGACGGCGUGCCUUUUGCAUAAUGAACCUACGAGUUACCUUCCCCGGCAAGGUUAAGUACCUAAGGUACGGAGCCGAAGCGAAAGCGAGUCUGAAGAGGGCGCCAAGUCGGGGGGGGUAGACGCGAAACCGAGUGAUCUACCCUUGGCCAGGUUGAAGGUUGGGUAACACCAACUGGAGGACCGGAUGGGUAAGCGUUGAAAAGCUUUCCAAUGAGCUGAGGGUAGGGGUGAAAGGCUAAUCAAACUCGGAGAUAGCUCGUACUCCCCGAAAUGCAUUUAGGUGCAGCCUCUUUAUAGUAUAUCGUGAGGUAGAGCGACUGAUUGGAUGCGAGGGCUUCACCGCCUAUCAAGUCCAGAUAAACUCCGAAUGCGCGAUAUAUAUUUACAGGGAGUGAGGGCGCGGGUGCUAAGGUCCGUGUCCGAGAGGAGAAGAAUCCAGACCACCGGCUAAGGCCCCCAAAUGAUCGUUAAGUUGAACUAACGAGGUCGGAUCGCAGAGACAGCUAGGAUGUUGGCUUGGAAGCAGCCAUUCAUUUAAAGAGUGCGUAACAGCUCACUAGUCGAGCGAUCUGGCGUGGAUAAUAAUCGGGCAUAAACGAUCUGCCGAAGCCGUGGAUGUCGCAAGACAUGGUAGGGGAGCAUUCCAUGCGGCGUCGAAGAUGAGGGAUGACCCUUGUUGGAGCGCAUGGAAAAGCAAAUGUAGGUAUGAGUAACGAUAAGGGGGGCGAGAAACCCCCCCGCCGAAAGACCAAGGUUUCCUGAUCAACGCUAAUCGGAUCAGGGUGAGUCGGGACCUAAGGCAAAGCCGAACGGCGCCGCCGAUGGAAGAAUGGGUUAAUAUUCCCAUACUGCCUCAUGGAGUGACGUGGAGACGGAGAAGUGACAGUCCUGCCGGCUGACGGAAUAGCCGGUUGAAGGGUGUAGAUAUUGAUUCCCGUAGGCAAAUCCGCGGGGAGAGUCGAACCUGAGAGUAUACGGAGCGCUUGCGCAACGUAAUAUGGACGUAACCAUGCUCCCGAGAAAAUCCGCUAAACUUAUCCAUGCGGCACCCGUACCGUAAACGGACACACGUGGUCGGGUUGAGAAUACUGAGGCGCUCGAGUGAUUCACGGUUAAGGAACUAGGCAAAUUGACCCUGUAACUUCGGGAUAAAGGGUCCUCGUCGUAAGGCGAGGCGCAGAGAAUAGGUCCAGGCAACUGUUUAACAAAAACACAUGGCUGUGCUAAAUGGAAACAUGAUGUAUACAGCCUGACACCUGCCCGGUGCCGGAAGGUUAAGAGGAGAUGUCAUCCGCGAGGAGAAGCGUUGAAUUGAAGCCCCGGUAAACGGCGGCCGUAACUAUAACGGUCCUAAGGUAGCGAAAUUCCUUGUCGGGUAAGUUC
RNAcentral lists this ribosomal RNA (1961 nucleotides) under human gut metagenome. RNAcentral's name for it is "bacterial LSU rRNA". It matches the Rfam family "Bacterial large subunit ribosomal RNA", at positions 1 to 1983 of the family's 2925-position model. The record is from RNAcentral.